GACGAACGCUGGCGGCGUGCUUAACACAUGCAAGUCGAACGGAAAGGCCUCUUUCGGGGGGUACUCGAGUGGCGAACGGGUGAGUAACACGUGAGUAACCUGCCCUUGACUUUGGGAUAACUUCAGGAAACUGGGGCUAAUACCGGAUAGGAGCUCCUGCUGCAUGGUGGGGGUUGGAAAGUUUCGGCGGUUGGGGAUGGACUCGCGGCUUAUCAGCUUGUUGGUGGGGUAGUGGCUUACCAAGGCUUUGACGGGUAGCCGGCCUGAGAGGGUGACCGGCCACAUUGGGACUGAGAUACGGCCCAGACGCCGACGGGAGGCAGCAGGGGGGGAUAUUGCACAAUGGGUGGAAGCCGGAUGCAGCAACGCCGGGUGCGGGAGGACGGCCUUCGGGUUGUAAACCGCUUUCGCUCAUGACGAAGCUUUGUGUGACGGUAGUGGGUAAAGAAGCACCGGCUAACUACGUG
Molecule: ribosomal RNA, 467 nt
Filed under: uncultured bacterium
Lineage: Bacteria
Description: partial 16S ribosomal RNA
Rfam family: Bacterial small subunit ribosomal RNA
Source: RNAcentral